This 956-nucleotide ribosomal RNA is filed under the name Coridromius sp. S93. RNAcentral describes it as "SSU rRNA". It matches the Rfam family "Eukaryotic small subunit ribosomal RNA", at positions 415 to 1323 of the family's 1831-position model. The record is from RNAcentral. Lineage: Eukaryota; Metazoa; Arthropoda; Insecta; Hemiptera; Miridae.
UCCAAGGAAGGCAGCAGGCACGCAAAUUACCCACUCCCGGCACGGGGAGGUAGUGACAAAAAAUAACGAUGCGGGACUCUUUUGAGGCCCCGUAAUCGGAAUGAGUACACUUUAAAUCCUUUAACAAGGAUCCAUUGGAGGGCAAGUCUGGUGCCAGCAGCCGCGGUAAUUCCAGCUCCAAUAGCGUAUCGUGCUACGCUGCUGGUUCGCCACCUGCUGGUGUAACUGGCAUGUCGUCGCAUGUCCUGUCGGUGGUGUGCGGGAGCCUCGUCUAGGUGACCUCUUGGGCCUCAGGUUCGAGUUGGUUGGCCGGGGGUCUAACCCGUACGCCUUCUCUACCUACCUAGGUGCUCUUCACUGAGUGUCGAGGUAGGCCGACACGUUUACUUUGAACAAAUUAGAGUGCUCAAAGCAGGCUGAAAUUGCCGCCUGAAUAGUGGUGCAUGGAAUAAUAAAACAGGACCUUGGUUCUAUUUUGUUGGUUCUUAGGAACACAAGGUAAUGAUCAAUACGGACUGGCGGGGGCAUUCGUAUUGCGNNNNNNNNNNNNNNNNNNNCGCAAGACGCACGAGAGCGAAAGCAUUUGCCAAGUAUGUCUUGAUUGAUCAAGAACGAAAGUUAGAGGUUCGAAGGCGAUCAGAUACCGCCCUAGUUCUAACCAUAAACGAUGCCAGCCAGCGAUCCGCCGAUGUUUAUUUAAUGACUCGGCGGGGAGCUUCUCCCCGGGAAACCAAAGCUUUUGGGUUCCGGGGGAAGUAUGGUUGCAAAGCUGAAACUUAAAGGAAUUGACGGAAGGGCACCACCAGGAGUGGAGCCUGCGGUUUAAUUUGACUCAACACGGGAAACCUCACCAGGCCAGGACAUUGGAAUGAUUGACAGAUUGAUAGCUCUUUCUUGAUUCAGUGGGUAGUGGUGCAUGGCCGUUCUUAGUUGGUGGAUCGAUUUGUCUGGUUAAU